GUGGUUAUGUUUGAAAAUGAUCGAGAUCAUAAGAUUUCCGUUUGAUCCGGGAAUUCAUCAUUGGGAGAAUUUAUCACAUGAAGAGUUUUUCAUUUUGAUAUUUGAUCCAGGAGGAGUUGGAACUUUUCAAAUUCUUGUUUGUGUUGCUAAUAUUACUUAUUCAUUUAAAUUUCCAGAUGAGACUUGUGGUUAUAUUUUGUUUGGUGUUACUAACUUGAUUUGUUUUUAUGUAGGAUCAGAGUUGUGGACAAAUCCUUUUAAAGUGGAGGGGAUGCCAGAUUUGAGGACAAAUCCUUUUCAAGAGGAGGAGAGAAUGAUACAAUCUUGAUCAGGCUCACAUCAAACAACAAUAACUCAUUUCAAAUUCCAGGGGUUCGUCAAAUGAUUUCAAAUAAUUGGAUUGAAUUUUAUUCAAAGAUGUUUGAAAUGGAGCUCAAUUCAAGCGAACUGCGACGGAAGGAUAAAUUACAUGAUUUGGGUCUUCUAGAUUUAACAUAUUUCGCAAGUUCAAAUCUAUUCAAGCAACAUAGUGUCAAAUUAAAUCAAAAUGGGCUGACCCAAUUUGCUAUUUAAUAUUAAUGUGGGUCGCGGAUGUUAUGAUGGCCAAUUCAGCCAUGGGCCACGAUUUUUGUACUCCAAAAUGGGCAGCGGGUCAAUAUUAAUAUAUAUGAAGCAAUGCAUGAAUUCAACAUGUUCAGCAAAGACUUUUUCAUAUUAUUUAUACACGUGGGCCUACAUAUAGCAACCAUCAUUACAUUCCUUUUACAAAUUGAAAUUAGAUAUCAGCCUUCAUAUAAUUGGAUAUCAGCUUUCAUAUUUCCUAAUUGAUGUCAGCAUCCGUUUUUACUUUCCUUUUCCUACAUUCGGUAAUGUCCAAUUUCAAGAAGGAAUUUAGGCGGCUUCAUGCGACACGAGGAGUCCAAACGCG
This 928-nucleotide long non-coding RNA is filed under the name Panax ginseng (ginseng). Its description in RNAcentral is "long non-coding RNA (PGIN_LNC002273)". Lineage: Eukaryota; Viridiplantae; Streptophyta; Magnoliopsida; Apiales; Araliaceae. The record is from RNAcentral.